This is a long non-coding RNA of Panicum hallii, 684 nucleotides long. RefSeq lists it as uncharacterized. Lineage: Eukaryota; Viridiplantae; Streptophyta; Magnoliopsida; Poales; Poaceae. The transcript has 2 exons. The record is from RefSeq and is a predicted model, not a curated record.
CCAGAUCCGGCCGGGGAAGGAGCCACGGCCUUCUGUGGCCGCCCAUCCCUACAAGUACUGAGGCCGCCUCCCCCGUUUCCUGCAGGAAGCUGCCGCCGCCGCCUCCCUGCACCAAGCCGGCGUUGCCUUCCUGCAACGAGUUUAGUGAGAUGCGGGGAGGAAGGAGUUCAACCUCUUCCAGCGCGCCGCGGCGGUGGGGCUCGACGCCUUCGAGAAAGGGUUCAUGGCAGACGUCCUUCAUCCUAUGGGAGAGCUCCUGCGACUGUGCCGCGAGGAGCAGGGCCCCCGCGCUGGGCGCCGUGGCUGUUCCUGUUCGGGGUCAAUGACGACGUCAGGUGGGGCACCGCCCCUACCCUAGCCGUGCACCGAUGGCGCCGCAUCGGGGCGGGCGGGCUCAAGGGGAGAUUCCUGUUCUCCGUCGCCGGCGUCGUUGAUCUUGGCGUGCACGGCGGCGUCCCGAGGAAGAAGAAGAUAGGAUCGAGAGGAUGGCAUGUGGCCCCACGAGUUAAGAGGGGCAAAAGGACAAUCCACCCUCCAAGCCCUCUAUCCUGGACGGGGGGCACCCAAAAGCUAGCUUCAGCUGAAGCUGCUGCCCAGACAGAGUUUGAGCGAUGCGCCAAACAGACCCUAAAUUAACAACAAAUGUUAGAAGGAGCUUAAUUAACAACCGGGAGGUUUACUGUU